Molecule: ribosomal RNA, 761 nt
Filed under: Prevotella melaninogenica
Lineage: Bacteria; Pseudomonadati; Bacteroidota; Bacteroidia; Bacteroidales; Prevotellaceae
Description: bacterial SSU rRNA
Rfam family: Bacterial small subunit ribosomal RNA
Source: RNAcentral
GAUGAACGCUAGCUACAGGCUUAACACAUGCAAGUCGAGGGGAAACGGCAUUGAGUGCUUGCACUCUUUGGACGUCGACCGGCGCACGGGUGAGUAACGCGUAUCCAACCUUCCCAUUACUGUGGGAUAACCUGCCGAAAGGCAGACUAAUACCGCAUAGUCUUCGAUGACGGCAUCAGAUUUGAAGUAAAGAUUUAUCGGUAAUGGAUGGGGAUGCGUCUGAUUAGCUUGUUGGCGGGGUAACGGCCCACCAAGGCUACGAUCAGUAGGGGUUCUGAGAGGAAGGUCCCCCACAUUGGAACUGAGACACGGUCCAAACUCCUACGGGAGGCAGCAGUGAGGAAUAUUGGUCAAUGGACGGAAGUCUGAACCAGCCAAGUAGCGUGCAGGAUGACGGCCCUAUGGGUUGUAAACUGCUUUUGUAUGGGGAUAAAGUUAGGGACGUGUCCCUAUUUGCAGGUACCAUACGAAUAAGGACCGGCUAAUUCCGUGCCAGCAGCCGCGGUAAUACGGAAGGUCCAGGCGUUAUCCGGAUUUAUUGGGUUUAAAGGGAGCGUAGGCUGGAGAUUAAGUGUGUUGUGAAAUGUAGACGCUCAACGUCUGAAUUGCAGCGCAUACUGGUUUCCUUGAGUACGCACAACGUUGGCGGAAUUCGUCGUGUAGCGGUGAAAUGCUUAGAUAUGNCGAAGAACUCCGAUUGCGAAGGCAGCUGACGGGAGCGCAACUGACGCUUAAGCUCGAAGGUGCGGGUAUCAAACAGG